RNAcentral lists this long non-coding RNA (1293 nucleotides) under Equus caballus (horse). Its description in RNAcentral is "lncRNA (ENSECAG00000053738.1)". Lineage: Eukaryota; Metazoa; Chordata; Mammalia; Perissodactyla; Equidae. The record is from RNAcentral.
AUUCCCGAGGGCUUUUUCUACUCGAUGUCCUUUUUAAUGCCUGCUUCUCAUAGCAUCUUUUUGCUGCUGGUGUGAAUUACAGUCACUCUGCUCAAAAUGUUUGCAGCAAAGGCCAUCUUCGAGGUCAGGAAAUCCUAUUAUCAGAUUUACUCUUCAGAGCAGAGGUGUCCAUAGUAGUGAAGUUGAGCCAUUCCCUGGAGCAUCUGUGGGGUCUUCAUGUUUGGGAAAUCUUGGGAUUCUUGAGAAGUGGUGACUCAACACAUGGAGUUCUUAGCCUGCUCAGAGGAAGGAGCAUCAACAGUCUUUCAAGAGUCAGCCUCAAACCCAGAACACACUCACACAAAUCCAGCUGAAGAUGAUUCUCGAGUGGCCAGAGUCCAGCAGGGCCUCAAUUCCUGCAGAAAUUGGGCCAAAGCUUUGGAGUCAGCACCCACCAGCCAGGCACCAACAGCCCCCAGGCAUGGGGAGCAGAGGAGAGUCACUGAAAGGCAAUGCGUUAAAAGAGGGGCUUGUUCUGCUCUCUCUUUGCCCCAUUUCUGUUCUGGGCAACCCAGCUAACCUGGCCCCUCUAAAUCUGUGCCCCUCUAAAUCUGAGCUUGGGACCAUCCAGAGCCUGUUUCUGCCCUUGUUCGUCCACCUGCCAGCCCUCCCCUGCUCCCCUCAUCACAGUUCUAGCCCACUGGAACCAUUUCUGGGUUUUGGCUGGAUUUAUCUUUCAAAGCUUUCAAGGAGAGUGAGAGGAAAACUGUCUUUGCAACUCUGGACACAUUGAAGGAGCUCAGGAAAUAUGAGCUGAAUUGGGUGAAGAAUGAAAGGAAGGAAGGAAAGAAGAGAGGGAGGGCGGAUUCUGCCCUCUGGAGUGCCCUGACGCCUUACAGACUCCAGAGGCAGAAAGGCUGAACACUCUUCAGGCAGGUGUCUGGCUGUGGAGGGCAGGUGGGAGGCGCAGAGCAGAAGGGAGGAGCUGGCCAACGCUCCAGUGAAAACAGGCCAGAGGCUGGGAGCUCACAGCUUCUACUGCCAGCCCUGGACGCUCCACGUCUGCCCCACUGACCUUCUUCCCAGGCCCUGGGAAUAUCAGAGGCCCCUUCUCUUUACUUUUGUCUUGUCUUUACUCCCGCUAUUUCUUCCAUGUAGGCUGCUCUUUCCUCUUCACAUUUCUCAUCCCUACUCCUUCAAGACCAGAUCACUCACUGUGGGGGCAGCAGCCCCGUGGAGAGGUCUGUGGUAGGAACCAAGGCCUCCUGCCAACAGCCUUGUGAGGGAGUCAUCUUGGAAGCAGGCCCUCUAGCC